CGGACCAUGCCGCAUGAUCGAUCCCGUAAUAGGUGAACUAGCACAGCAAUACGCAGGAAAACUCAAGUGCUUCAAACUGAAUACGGACGAUAGCCCCUCGAUCGCUUCCCAAUAUGGAAUCCGAAGCAUCCCGACACUCAUGAUCUUCCUGAAUGGUGAGAAAAAAGAUGCAGUUAUUGGUGCUGUGCCAAAAACUACUCUAUCAGCAAGCAUAGAGAGAUUCUUGUAGAUAGCGAUUCAUAAGAAGUGAUAUUGACUGAUGGAAUCAUGGAAGUGUCCAGCACUCAUCACCCACUUGGCUUUGGUUAGAUGCUUUAUUUCUCUCUAUGUGAUGUUGAAAAUUUUCCUACUUUUAUGUCAAAUUUGGAACCGUUCCUUGUCUCGUACACAUGCUUAUGUCUGUAUUUUGAAAAUAUUAAUUAUUGCUAACUAUAUACUAUAUAUUCAGCUUACAAAAUUUGCAAUCAUUUAAUUUGAAGCUUACCUAUGAACCAAAUUUCAGGUGGAUUUAGUUCCUUCCUUUGAUUGCCAAAAGGAAAGACUGAUAGUGAUUUUGGACCUAACUAUUCCUUUGAGGUAUAAAAUUUGCUUUUUUGGUGAAUUUCAUGACCCAUGGCUUCUAUAUUGGCCAUAACUUGUAAGCAGCGAAAAAGAAUAGUCCAUGUGGAAAAGCAUUUAAGGAGGAAUAUAUAUAUAUAUAUAUAUAUAUGAAGGGAAAAUUAGGUCCUAUAUUUGAUUUAAUGUUUAUGGUCAUCACUUUUUUAGUAUAUAUGACAUGAUAUAACCUAAUUCAUAUUUGUCCUUCACCAUUGCGUUACUAGAAAAGCUAGAGAUGCAUUUGGCAUGUAGUUGGAUGGAGUACAAUUUUGGACUUUAGGGUGGGGAUUAACCUAAUAGUACCCAAUUUUUGUACUUUUUUUUAUCAAUUAAUAUAUUUUCAUUUAAAUAAUUUAAAUUUUUUAUUUGUUAAAUCGAUUCAAUAAAUUUAUUUAUUUUUAUACAAUUUUAGGGGAGGAAAUGGAUUUCAUAGAGCUUAAACUUGAAAUUUAUGUCUACUACUUGAAGCUUUGCAAGUUAUAGUAGCUUCUCAACAUGAAUAAAUUUAUAUAAUUAUAGAAAUAUAUAAUAAUUAAUCAGUUAAUUAAAAUGUUUCAACAAAAAUUUGGAAUUUUGUUCCCGUACUUCUACUUUAAGGAAUUUAAUCUAUCUACUUUUUAGAUAUUCGAAAUUCGGGUCUAACGAUUGACAUUUAAGAUUAAUUUGUUAAAAUUUAAAUUAAUUACAACGUUAUUUUUUAGUUACAUUUUUACCAAGUGAAUAUUUUUUUUCUUUUAAAAUAUCACAUCAACAAAUUUAAUAAAAAUUUAACAGUUUUAACGAUCGAACUUGAAUUUUAAAAUUCUAAAAUAGAGAGAAUAAAUUUUUAAAAAUAAAAAUAUGAGAAUUAAAUUUUAAAUUUAUAAAUAAUAUAAGGACCUAUGACAUAUUUUAACCAUGUAAGUCUAUAUCAACAUGACACCCGUCCCACCAUCCUACUGUUUUUCUUACAUGAUAUAUUGAUCAGCCUAGAUUUAGAUUCAAUAUUUAUAUUUUAAUUUCUAACCUAAUUUAAAUCUAAUAUUUUAUAAUAUUAUUAGUUUGUCCAAAUAAUUAAUAUUAUUGAUUAUUUUGAUUAAAUUUUGGCAAAGGUUAAAUUUUAGUUAAAGAGCUAUAUUAUGUCUAAAUUUGAGAUUUAUUUUUAACACAAUUCGGUCUUAUAAAUUUAUAAUAUUAUUAAUUAGUUCAAAUAGUUUAUAUUAUUAAUUUAUAUAUAACUUAGAUUUAAUUAUGUUAAGAGUCUUUUUUACUUUUUAAAAUUUAAAAUUUAAUCACAGUAACAUUGACUUGAUUCUUUCACUAACUUCCUUCCAAUUUUUCUGGUAGUUGCUAAUGUUGCAUUUGUAAAAAGUUGUAAAAUAACUUUUUUAAUUAUUAAUAUUUAUAACUUUUGUCAACUUCACCAUACUCUUUAAAAAUACUUAAAAUUCAUAAAAAAAAAUAAAAAUCAACAUUAAUAACAUUAAUAACAUAUUGGACCGAUAAAAUUAAAAUUAAUGAUGACAUAUAAAUGCAAAAGCAAGGAUAAUGGUGAAAUGCAUUAUAACUGAUAAAAUAAUCAUUAAGCAUGUUAAAUUAAAAUUUAUUUAUAAACAUUCAAAGUUUUUGUUAUAUUAUAUGUAUUUAAAUAAUGUGACUUUCAUCCCUCACUUUUAAUUUUGUAUAAAAAAAAUCAUUUAUAAGUAAAAUAAUACAAUCAAUUAUUUUAUUUAUUUAAUUUUUUUUGCUACAAGGUAGACCUGAUAAUGGGUUGGGCCGGUACAAAAUUUUAGGCUUAUUUUCUGAGCCCAACUUGACCUAAAAAAUGAGCCUAAAAUUUUGUCUAAGCUUAGCCUAGAUAAAAAAAAUGCUAAACUCGAACCCGACCUAGCUUGCUUGUAUUAAUUUUUUUUUAUUUUUUAUAUAAAAACAAAUUUCAAAAAUAUAAUACCAAAUACACUAAAAACAUUAAAAAUAAAUGUUUCCCAACAAAUUGAAAGUACAUUAAAAAAGUCUUUAUACUUAAAAUAACACUAAGAUAAUUGCAAAAUUAACAAUAAAACAACAGUUAUACAAUAUCCAAACAACAACAAAAUGAUAGCAAAACAACAGCAAAUAGUAGCAAGAAAAAAAUUUAGGGAAAUUCGAGUUAGGCCUAGGCAAAAAAAAUUUUACCUGAGACCUGACUCAUUUAGAAAACGGGCCUUUUUUUUUUGUCCUAGAGGAGAAACUUAAUAUCCUGAAAAAUUGGUUGAAGUUUCCAUCCAGUUUUAGUGUCCCAUGAUGAUGUUACUCCAUUUUUUAUUGGCACUCAGUAGCCUACAAGAAUUGACAUUGAGAGAUAUAAAAAGCAAGAGUAUAACACGAAGAGUGAGGAUCUAGGCAAGAAGUUUGCUGACAAAUCUAAAACUGUGAAUAGAUAUGAGUUGGAAAUCAUUAGUAUUCUAGGUAAUGAUGUUAAGAGAAGAGACCAUUGUGCAUUAGUAGCAUCCGAAGAAGGAACCGAAUGAACUCUCUACUGCUACUAAGUUGGGCAAAAGUUGUCUUGGAAGGAAUUGAGGAUUGAUUGAAACAUAUCAGAGAUUCUUUU
This 3166-nucleotide long non-coding RNA is filed under the name Gossypium barbadense (sea-island cotton). Its description in RNAcentral is "long non-coding RNA (GBAR_LNC015785)". Lineage: Eukaryota; Viridiplantae; Streptophyta; Magnoliopsida; Malvales; Malvaceae. The record is from RNAcentral.